Tympanuchus pallidicinctus (lesser prairie-chicken) is the source of this 5365-nucleotide long non-coding RNA. RefSeq lists it as uncharacterized. The transcript has 3 exons. The record is from RefSeq and is a predicted model, not a curated record. NCBI's taxonomy places the organism in Eukaryota, Metazoa, Chordata, Aves, Galliformes, Phasianidae.
AUCAUUGGGCUCUUGAUACAGGUGUGUUUGGGCGACAGCAUUUUAGGAAGGGCAGGGCAGCACAGCUGGCUGCUAUCAGCCUUUUGCAAACUGCUCCGUCUGCCCACUCUGAUCAAUGCUGCAGUGCAAAAUGCUUCCUAAGGCUGAGGGAAGUGUGGUUGUGGCCUCUCCAGAAGCAUGGCUGGAGGGAGAAGAGUCUGUCUUCUGUGAAAACAAGUUUUCUGCCUGCUUGUCUUCAGAAGAUGGAGGGUGAAUCUAGUUCUCUUCAGGCAGCUCAGCUUGGACAAAGACAGCGAAGGACUCCGGAUUUCGUGGUGCUUCAUGUGCCAUGCAGAGAUAAAAGGUAGAACAUGCCUCUCUCGACUGCUCCCAGGGAAACUCCAUUACCCUUCAAGGACCACGUGGCAAUGGCAAGCCAAUCUGAGGGGGAAGAGGCAGCCCGCAAGGACGAGCUCAGGAUGAGCAGAAAAUGAAGUUGUUACCAGACAGCAAACAGCAGCCUUCGGUUCUUAUGAAUAUUUGAAUGAGUAACUAAAAACAGCUCAGUGGACUCUAAGCAACUGUGACAGCUGAAACUGCCUGGGAAACUAGCAGUCUGCAAGGACUGUGAAGAAAAGAUCAGCACUGCAUUUUUACCUACACCUCCAUCGGUGUAUUCUAAAACUUUAGCAGAUUCGUUGUCCCCAAAUAUUUGUUAGAAAACAAAAACUCUGUGUGAAUUUUCAUAAGCGAGGUACCUGCAGAAUCUGUCUAGAAAUUGAGAAUUCAUUAAAAUACAAUGAUUUCUAACAAUUUACUCGAGGCAAGAGAAUAGCCACAUUUUCUAGACAUUGAAAUAUUGAUGUUGCUGUUGCUUAUACUCAUAGAAAAUUGGCCCUAGUGAAUCUUUCAUGAAUAUCUUUCAGCUGGUUCCACGUGGAAAGAAAGAUGAUGAGGACAGUUUCCCUGAAGCUGAAAUAUUCUGAAUAAUCUGCAAAAAAAAAAAAGUGGGGGGAGGGAGGGCAGGAACUGUAACAAGCAAACCAUCGCAAGGUUACUCGCUAUUUUACAGCAGUUGAAAAGCUAUUACAGCAGUUCUGAUGGCAUAAGGCAACUAUCUCUCUUUUUCAUGGCAGACUUCAUUUUUUUUUAAAUGCAGUUUUCUGACUCUGAUUUUUUAUUUUUUUUUUUAAUGUGUAUUAAUUACCAAGCUGCAUUUAAAAAAGCUUUUGUUGUGACCUUCCUGGCUAUGCAGGUCAGAGUUAAUGUGUCCUCUCUGAGUUCCCAGCACAGUUUACCAAUGUCAUUGCUCUUUACCAGGUUUUUCUCACUGGGGCUGCCUGUGUGAGGGUGUAUUGCAGAACUGAUUUGCUACCAUGUUUAAAACGCUGCUCUGGAAUCAAGUUGAGUGACAUCUUCCUCAUAUAUAUAUAUAUUUUUUUUUUAUUACAAUUUCAGGUUUAUACUAUAAAUCUGACUUGAGAACCAGAUGAAUUGUUCAGAUAAAAUGUAACUGGCGUGCCAUAUAUGAAUAACAAAGAAAGAAGUAGGCAUUUAAACAAAGAUGAAGAGCCUUUUCAACAAGAACUGAAAUUACGUUUUUCAAAUGGCACUUCAUUCUGACACGUGUACCAUUUUGGAGCAGUGAUGUUGGCAUCAGCAUAACAUCUGCAGGGCUGAAAAAGAGCUCAGAGAAACUGGUGCUGCCACCGAGGUAGCUGUGUCUAACCUUUUCAUAAGAGUUCAUCCACAGCGAUGUCGGAAUAAUUGCUCCUGUUAAAACAGACAAAGAUUGGCUGGCACACCUCUUGAACUGCUGCCCAGACCUCUUCUCUAUGAGCUUGGGAAUUAGAGUGCCACAGUUGAGUCAUAUUUCUUAGUUUGCUCUGCCUUUGCUCCCCUGGAAGGAGUAGGUCUGGUUCCACCUAUUCUGUCAGUACUCUCAAGGAAACGACAUAUGUAGGAUAUUUCCUGGCAUAUGUAGGAUAAAUCACAAUUUGGGCUACAAGUCAGCGACAGAAAUGAAUGAAGAAUUCUGAGCACAUUUCUCUUUUAAAUUUUGUAUCAGUUGUGAUAUUUGUAACACUGUUUUGCUAUUUAUUUUGGUUACCUCACUAAAACUUUACCUGUUUGUGGUUAACUGAUGAGAUCUAGGUUGCUUUUUGGCAUAAUUACUUUCGUUCACCUUUUUGCUGUAUGUUAUGUGGUUAGUAAUUUGCAGUUUUGUUCCUGCAAAUCUGAUGACAGCUUUUGUGGACAAGAGAGGACUUUACAAGGAAGAAAAAAGAGAGGUGGGGGAAGAUGGGAGGAGAAAAAAAGAAAAAAAAUUUUCUCAAACCACUGGAAUUAUAGGACCCAUAGCAGAGCAAAUGUGUAAAGGAUGCUUUCUUGGUCUGCUCCUCUACUCUGUUAGCUUGAGACUGGUCUUCUGGAUUAUUUCAAGUGUUUCUAAGCUUGGCUAUACCUUUAUAAGCAAAGGUUAUUAAAUGCCACAAAAUGCCACAGGCCAUGGGCUCGAGUAGGUCUAGAACAGAACAGGACUUGUCUGGAAAGACCUGUUGGCAAUAAAACAAUGCUCCAAAAAGGAAUGAGCUGAACUGCUGUUGGAAAGGCUGUAGUUCCUGCCUCUGCUUGUCUGGGGCAGAAGUGUCAGCAGUGCUUAGCAGUGACCUGGUUUCCUGCUGAAGGACGCGGUGCAGACGGAAGGCUGAUGCCCCCCUACGAGGGCCCAUCCUGCCCUUUGCUUCCCAGCACAUGUGAGCGGUUCCCAGGUUGAUGCAGUUGCUGCUGAAUGUAGCCCUCUCCCAGGAGCAGCGCCCGGCUCUGCUGGAAGGUGCAGGUGGUGACACAGCUGCCUCUUGCUCCCUUGGUACCUUGGAGCUGCAAGCAGAGCCCCCAGCCAGGGCCACUGUCAUUCCACUUAUGCUCCUUUCUGUUGCUACUGCUUGUUGCUGAUUACUGGCCUGUUGUUGGUGAGCCCCUUCCUCUUGAGGAAAUCUCUCUGGGAUUGUGGGUAGUUCAUUCUCUAAAUUUAAAUGUGUACCUUGGUGCAAGAAAUAGGCCCAGCAAAAGUCUCCACCAUCUGCUGUGGAUGGGUACAAGGACACUCCUUGUGAGAGAUAUGUGAAUGACAAUCUGUGCCCUGGCACUUGGGUGCAGGAGCUUCAGGAUGCUGUAUGUUGGCACAUAUGCACACAAGUAUGUGUACAAGUGCAGAUUAGUGCAAAUACAACUGAAGGCAGGGUGAUGUCUAGCAUCGCUGUCCUAUGUGGGUCUGUCAGCAGCCCAUCUGCGCAUCCAUCUUCCUUUCUCCAGAAACGUGCUGUGAAGGCUGAUGGCCAGAGCUGGCAGCUCCAAGUUCCUGCCUGCAUCACCUCUGUAGCUGUAUAGAUUUUCCUGAAUUCAUCCUUUUCCAGACCUGCAAAAACUGAACUGCUAUUAAAACAAACAGAAAAAAAACCCAAAACAACAACCAAAACCACCUAAGACAAAUUCCUUCCUUCUAAAAACAAACAAACAAGCAAAAAUACCCCCACAAACAAAUAAAUACAGAGUUUAAAAAAAAAAAAAAAAGUCCACAAGAAUCACUUGCUAAUCUGAUGACAUAACUCUUCAAAGCCACCAGGCAUCACUGUUGCACCUCUGCCUGGGCAUUCUUCAUUCUGUUAAAAGCUGCAGAUUAUCCUGUUAAUUAGUUGGGGAUUGUUUUUUUAAUCAGUAUUUAUGUCAUUGUGGGUCACUGCCUGCAUACAGGACUGCACACCCAAAGGGAUUAUUUUGUCAGUUUACAGCCACCCUGUUAGCUCUGACCACGUCUUGCAGAACACAGAGGAUGCAUAUUCUUGGCUUUUCUUUGAUUUAUUUAGCUAUCUUUCAGCUGUCUUUUGCUUCACCUGUGUCAGCCUACACACGGGAGAUACAGGUGUGCCUAGCUGCACUGCACUUCAGUAGGUGAGGAUGGAAAGGACACAGGAGCAAAGGCUUACAUUUACAGGUACUUCUGUGAGAUGAGCUGUACAGUGAGUUUGUGGUGAUGGGUGGUGCACAGAAGCUCUGUCGAGAAGAUGAAGGAUACCUGGUGCUUUCCUACCUCCUUGCUUGGGCAUCCGCUGAAGGAAUCUUUCCUUUCUGAAGCAUUCUCAAAUUUAUUAGGCAGAAGUGUGCAAAAUAACUGUUAUAAAUAAGAAAGUAUUUGAAAUGAUUUGUAUUUUAUUUUCUAGCUUUUUAAGCAGCUAAGGAAGUUCAGCUUUAUUCUGGGUGUUUUCCCUUUCUCGCCUCUCCAUUCCUGGUCCUGAGUUUCCCAAUGGGAUGUUGAAGGCAGUGCUGAGGCUUCACAAACUGUAGUGGCAAUGAGAAAUAGGUCCUUAAAAAUAGCUUUUCUUUGUUUCAUGUUUUUCUGGGCAAAGUAUUCUUUGCUUUUUUGUUCUCCUUCUAGUAAACGAAUGCACCAGGCUUGACAGUAGCUGUUAUGCAGUUACCUGGACCCGCACCUACCAGGAGGCUCGCUGCCACCAGCGGCUUUCAUUUCACCGUGACAGGAAAGCAGUGCUCCUGAGAUUUCAGUGUCUCAGGGUUAUGCUGGAGUAGGGUCUCUUUGGGCGUGCGUUAGUGACCUGAAAAAAUAAGGAUUUGUAUCCUGCUCUCCACUGGAGACGCGUUUCAGCAGUUACUGGUGAUUCUGGAAGUAAUUUCCUCUGAGGUUUUCUUGGUUUUGUGCACAAAAAACAAGAUCUGAGAGUUGUUUUGUAGCUGCUACAUUUUAUUUUUCCUAUAGGAGACAAAAGCCCGUUUCCUUUUGAUAUCCUCUUACUAAAUUCUGGAAAUACUUUUAUUUUAAUAGCCAACAAUGGAGAUUUUUCUCUCCGUGGUUCUUCACACACAGAGGGAUUUUGUUUUUAAGGUUCAGUGACAUAGUUUCUGCUUUACAAUACUUGAUUAUUCUUUGAGUACAGAAUAGACUGGGGGAUGGAGUUCCUAGUCCCUUGCUUCUAAUUUCCAUUCAAAGUAGCCCUUCACAAAAAUCAAAAUUAAAAAGGAUUCUUUGCAUGAGUGGGAAGAUGGAGUUACUGACUUUUUGCCAUAGGAGUCCAUCACUCACUGCUCACGUCUGUAGCAGUGGGACUCAAAAUGAGAUGAUGGAACAGGAUUGCUGUAUCAAGUCUAAACAAUUACUCUGAAACUGGAAUCCCUGUAAAAUAGGGAAGACUUAGCUCUACUUUAGAGGUGAUAAGUGUGUAGAUACUCGUUACUGAUAACUGGGGAUUUAAUUGCUGUAAAUCUUUUUUCUAAAACAAAUCAAACAAAAUAGGCCCCAAAAGGGCUUUUAUUUUUCUCUUGGAUCUUAAUUGUACAAUGUAGAAAUUCAAAAUAAAGCAUGCAAGAUUGU